AUUGAACGCUGGCGGCAGGCCUAACACAUGCAAGUCGAACGAGUGGCGGACGGGUGAGUAAUGUCUGGGAACCUGCCUGAUGGAGGGGGAUAACUACUGGAAACGGUAGCUAAUACCGCAUACCAUCAGAUGUGCCCAGAUGGGAUUAGCUUGUUGGUGGGGUAACGGCUCACCAAGGCGACGAUCCCUAGCUGGUCUGAGAGGAUGACAAGCCGCACUGGAACUGGAACAGGGUCCAGACUCCUACGGGAGGCAGCAGUGGGGAAUAUUGCGCAAUGGGGGCAAGCCUGAUGCAGCCAUGCCGCGUGUAUGAAGAAGGCCUUGGGGUUGUAAAGUACUUUCAGCGGGGAGGCGUUACCCGCAGAAGAAGCACCGGCUAACUCCGUGCCAGCAGCCGCGGUAAUAC
Molecule: ribosomal RNA, 406 nt
Filed under: uncultured bacterium
Lineage: Bacteria
Description: partial 16S ribosomal RNA
Rfam family: Bacterial small subunit ribosomal RNA
Source: RNAcentral